CCAAUAGCGUAUAUUAAAGUUGUUGCAGUUAAAAAGCUCGUAGUUGGAUUUGUGGCUGUCACGGGCGGCCUAUCACUUAGUGUUAGUGCUUGCCUGUGUCGCCAUCCUUGGGUGGAGCCCGUGUGGCAUUAGGUUGUCGUGCGGGGGAUGCCCAUCGUUUACUGUGAGAAAAUUAGAGUGUUCAAAGCAGGCUUAUGCCGUUGAAUAUGUUAGCAUGGAAUAAUAAGAUAGGACCUCGGUACUAUUUUGUUGGUUUGCGCACCGAGGUAAUGAUUAAUAGGGACAGUUGGGGGUAUUCGUAUUUCAUUGUCAGAGGUGAAAUUCUUGGAUUUCUGAAAGACGAACUACUGCGAAAGCAUUUACCAAGGAUGUUUUCAUUAA
Molecule: ribosomal RNA, 381 nt
Filed under: uncultured eukaryote
Lineage: Eukaryota
Description: partial 18S ribosomal RNA
Rfam family: Eukaryotic small subunit ribosomal RNA
Source: RNAcentral